Molecule: ribosomal RNA, 496 nt
Filed under: uncultured bacterium
Lineage: Bacteria
Description: partial 16S ribosomal RNA
Rfam family: Bacterial small subunit ribosomal RNA
Source: RNAcentral
GAUGAACGCUGGCGGCGUGCCUAAUACAUGCAAGUCGAGCGAACAGACGAGGAGCUUGCUCCUCUGACGUUAGCGGCGGACGGGUGAGUAACACGUGGAUAACCUACCUAUAAGACUGGGAUAACUUCGGGAAACCGGAGCUAAUACCGGAUAAUAUAUUGAACCGCAUGGUUCAAUAGUGAAAGACGGUUUUGCUGUCACUUAUAGAUGGAUCCGCGCCGCAUUAGCUAGUUGGUAAGGUAACGGCUUACCAAGGCAACGAUGCGUAGCCGACCUGAGAGGGGGAGCGGCCACACUGGAACUGAGACACGGUCCAGACUCCUACGGGAGGCAGCAGUAGGGAAUCUUCCGCAAUGGGCGAAAGCCUGACGGAGCAACGCCGCGUGAGUGAUGAAGGUCUUCGGAUCGUAAAACUCUGUUAUUAGGGAAGAACAAAUGUGUAAGUAACUAUGCACGUCUUGACGGUACCUAAUCAGAAAGCCACGGCUAACUACGU